CAAUGUGAAGUAGGAUGGUUUCAGUUUGCCGAGAGCUAGUCCCUAACUGAAUUUUCAGAGGCUUGUAAUGUGAGUACCCAGAUUUUACAUUACUGUAUGGAAAGGAUAGAGCUUGGCAUUUUCACUAGUACCUAAGCUGAUUCCAGAAAUUGCCUGAUUCCAGGAUUUUGCAUCACAUCAGGUUACCAUGAAUUAUUUGAGACGUGGCAACACUGAUGGUUUACAAAUACUUCCUUUUUCCUACUUGAGAGGAGAAAAGGGAAUGCAGGAUGCCCUGAAUCAUCUAGUCCUAUCCACCCUACAGACCAGCACAUAUCAAGACAUCUCCACAUACACAGGAGAAGAACAGAAGUUACGUGCAAUUUCACAAAGUAAAAACUGCUCACGAUCUGGAGAGGCAUGGAAGAUAAGUCUCGUUCUGUCACUCAAAUCACAGGGCUGA
This 442-nucleotide long non-coding RNA is filed under the name Anas platyrhynchos platyrhynchos (common mallard). Its description in RNAcentral is "lncRNA (ENSAPLG00000029912.1)". Lineage: Eukaryota; Metazoa; Chordata; Aves; Anseriformes; Anatidae. The record is from RNAcentral.